GGGUUGUGAGGUUAAGCGACUAAGCGUACACGGUGGAUGCCCUGGCAGUCAGAGGCGAUGAAGGACGUGCUAAUCUGCGAUAAGCGUCGGUAAGGUGAUAUGAACCGUUAUAACCGGCGAUUUCCGAAUGGGGAAACCCAGUGUGUUUCGACACACUAUCAUUAACUGAAUCCAUAGGUUAAUGAGGCGAACCGGGGGAACUGAAACAUCUAAGUACCCCGAGGAAAAGAAAUCAACCGAGAUUCCCCCAGUAGCGGCGAGCGAACGGGGAGAAGCCCAGAGCCUGAAUCAGUGUGUGUGUUAGUGGAAGCGUCUGGAAAGGCGCGCGAUACAGGGUGACAGCCCCGUACACAAAAAUGCACAUACUGUGAGCUCGAUGAGUAGGGCGGGACACGUGGUAUCCUGUCUGAAUAUGGGGGGACCAUCCUCCAAGGCUAAAUACUCCUGACUGACCGAUAGUGAACCAGUACCGUGAGGGAAAGGCGAAAAGAACCCCGGC
RNAcentral lists this ribosomal RNA (499 nucleotides) under Escherichia fergusonii. RNAcentral describes it as "bacterial LSU rRNA". It matches the Rfam family "Bacterial large subunit ribosomal RNA", at positions 1 to 530 of the family's 2925-position model. The record is from RNAcentral. Lineage: Bacteria; Pseudomonadati; Pseudomonadota; Gammaproteobacteria; Enterobacterales; Enterobacteriaceae.